Sarcophilus harrisii (Tasmanian devil) is the source of this 244-nucleotide non-coding RNA. The record is from Rfam. Lineage: Eukaryota; Metazoa; Chordata; Mammalia; Dasyuromorphia; Dasyuridae.
CUGGGUGCCGGGCCAUAAUUUAUGAAACUGAGCUCCAGCCUCAGCCAAUCAUUUAGCUUCCCAUAACAAGUCUAACUGGCUCAGAAGAGCUAGCUGUGCCGCAAUAAAGCCACAUGGAGGAGAUAUCCCACCCGAUAAUCUGUUUAUCUGCGCUCGAUUUCAAUCGGGGAAGCCAAAAAGAAAUCCUAACUUCAUUGUCUUCAAGGAAGGGGGCAGCUGACCUACGUCAAUAAAAGUCGAGCAC